AUGUGUCAAACAGGAUUAGCUUUUCCACAGUGUCUGCAGGCUUCCCCUCUUCCCGCCCAGCCUUGGCCUCCCACCUCCAGCCCACACUUCUGUCUUCCAUCCUCAACCACCAGCUCCUUCAGAAGCCCAACACAAAUCUUGUGUAUAGAAUGUAGCUCCCUCACUGUAGGGCAGGUGGUAAUGUGCGCUUGGUUGAAAAGAAGCCUUUCAGGCUCAUUGCUUUGGAAGAAUAGGCGGGUGUCUGCUCUGCAGCUUUCCUUUUUGAUAGGAAGGGAUAAUCCCUUCUAUUUGACGGCUGUGUCAAAGCUGCAGAGAGAAAGGGAUCAGGGUUCUCCCAUGAUACAGAGGAGGGAAAAAAGUCAGAACAGCUUUCCUGUGAUUCAUCUACCUCUGUUUCCCUCCACAACCAUUUAGUGACUGCUGAAGAAUGGGGAACAUUGGCAAAGUAUGUAUAUGUGUGCUUAUAACAAGAUGCGCCAUAAUUACACCAUCCUGAAAGACUUGGAGGAGGUUCAGGAAAAUACCCUUGUAAUUUUCCAGUGCCCCCUACUCCUCUCCUGCUAAAUAACCAUGGAGGGGAGGCUCCACAAGUAAAGGUGACUGCUAGUGGGAAGCUUAAGUUGUUGCAUGGGGAUGGUAGAAAAAGACAUUUUAUAUGGAGGUGUGACUUUCAAUUCUACCCACCUAUGUUACUACCAGAAUGGUAGCUAUAAAUUCUUUAAAAUAAUAGGCGUUCCAGGUCUCUUCAAAUAUUAUCGGGAGCCACAUUUAUCCUGUGGACCAUACUGCCCCACACCUGCUAUAUUACCUCACAUGAAGUGUUUCACGCAUAUAUUAUAUAAGAUGUGAUGGUAAAUGUUCUGCACUGUUUCAACUGCAGGUGGGAGAUCAUAUUUUGAAAUACCUCCAUGCUGGAUGCUAAAGAAAACUAACAGAAAGAAAAUUCACUCAAGUGGUGCAAGAAGAGAGUUCUAGGGAUAUCAUGGAUUUGCCAAAACAAAAUUAAAUGAAUUGGAGACCAGUUCAAUUCCCAACUCUCACUAGAAACCGUUGACUAAGCUGUGGUUCCCAUACUUCAGGCAUACCAUGAGAUGGCUGGCAUGACUCACUGAAAAAUACAAGAAUGCCCCAUAACAUUGUAGGAAGAAUCGGCUUAGAAUCUAUAAGACAUGAGCUGGUGAGGACUGAAGGUCUUUGCAGUCUCCCAUUCAUAAGUCUGCCAUGACUCUAAGUUGGUGGGAAAUAACAACAGUACCAUUUCCUGCCUCUUUCCUUUUUUUGCCCUUUUAUGGUUUUAAUUAAACAUGCUGUGGAAUGGAAUAUUGGGCAUUCAAGCUCUUUGAAGGCCAGUUCACAUGUUCCUCUGAGCACCAUUUGUUGGGACAUGAAGACAGCAGGUGCCUAGAAUUCCACUCUACAGCAAACAAAAGAAAAAAGAAAUAAGAAAGGAGCAGGGGAAGAAGAAUUUCAAAACAUAUGGGGCGGAAUCACUGUCUGCAAGCACCACAUCACUGUCACCUGCUGAAGAAGAGUAAAUCUAUCAUGCCUGGUCCAUUUUGGUUUCCAUACAAAAAUUGGCUGAAUCUACAUGAGGAUAAAGUUCCAGCUUCACUGUGUAUACCCCUCCCUAAUUUGAUCCCUUUAAUGCUACAUUUUACUGCUAUGUUUUACUAUGUAUCUUUUAUAGAAGUACAUUUUAAUAUGUAUAUGAAUAUAAUUUUAUAACGUUUAUGUUUUACUUAUGCUGUAACCCGUCUCGAGCCACAAGGAGAGCUGCCUAAAAAAUAAAUUAUUAUUAUUAUUAUUAUUAUUAUUGACACAACGAUGUUGUAUGACACAGCAAACAAGAUAGACAUGCUGGAUUUCGUUUCACAAAACCACAAGUCGAACACUUCCCAAGUGUCUAGGACUGUGUGAUGUAUUUUCGGAUGAUGCGUGCAGAUCCCAGCAGGGUGGCCUUUUGCAGUUGGCAGAUCGUAAUUUUGUCAAUGUCUAUUGUUUCCAAAUGCCGGCUGAGAUCUUUUGGCACGGCACCCAAUGUGCCCAUCACCACCGGGACCACCUGCACUGGUUUCUGCCAGAGUCUUUGAAGUUCAAUCUUGAGGUCCUGAUAGCGGCUGAGUUUUUCCUGUUGUUUUUCAUCAAUGCGACUGUCACCUGGGAUGGCGACAUCAAUUAUCCAAACCUUGUUCUUUUCCACAACUGUGAUAUCUGGUGUGUUGUGUUCCAGAACUUUGUCAGUCUGGAUUCGGAAGUCCCAUAGUAUCUUUGCGUGUUCAUUAUUAUAUACAUCUAUUUUAAUCCAAACUGAAAUCAGUUUAAAAAGUCACAAAAGAUCCUCAUUACACAGCCACAUCAGUGCAAGGGAGUGUUUCUACCAUGUUCCCAUGUUGACCAUAUCAGUUUACAUUCUGUCACAUGAUUGCAACAGUUGAUUUUUAAAAAGUUCUGCCAUGCAUAUGCAUAAUUUGCUAAAUCAAAUAGCCUUCCUCUCUUUCUCCAUCAUUCUGAUUGCAUGAGCUUCUAUAAAGUGAGAGCAGGGAAGGUGAAAUGUUGAUCUACAAUUGUGUGAAAUGCAUGAUUGUGAGGUUUACAUACAAACACCAAAGUCAAAGAAAAGGAGAAGGCAGCACCACAUUUCUGGAUGGGGAUAAAAACAAGGGGGCUACUUGGAAUGAGACAAAGUAUGUACUUACAGGAAUGGGAUGAAAGCAAGGCUGCAUUAUUUAGCUUGUGUAGAUUCUAGGCAUGUCCGAUCAAUGAAAAAAAUGUUUCAAUUCUCGUUUCUAAAGUAGGGGGCGCUGGCGCUUCAAUAUAGAAAGUAUUUCCGAUUUUUUCACCCAAAAAUUUUGGAUAUUUCCAAAAAUUCGUAAUGAUUCUAAAUGUUUCUAAAAUGGUGGACACACAUGCGCAAUCGCCCAAAAAAAAAAAAAAGGAACCCGGGGGGGGGGGGGACUUUUACAGGGCUCUCCCGCCCUCAUUUCUUGAGCUAUCCUCAUCAAAUUUGCAAUGCCCUUGCAAGUUGUGCAAAGAUACUUUGAAAACUAGAAAUUCCCUUGCUAUAUUUGUAAGCAAGAAGGAAACUGGAAAUCAAUGGUGUCUCUGACUAUGUGAUCCUACAAGCCUCAACUCAAUGCCUUCAAUUAGAAAUGGACCAGUGACCACCACGCCAAGCAAUGCCCUGGCAAGGAGUGCAAAGAGACUUUGAAAACUAGAAAUUCCCUUGCUAAGAGAAGGAACCAGCAACAAAACCCUAACCCUUUCUCCAAACUCCUCUGUGGGAACAGCCAGACCGGGCCCCUUCACCCUCUCUCUCCCUCAAGAAGCUUGCUCGCUCUCCGUUUGCAGACCACCACCCUCUCUGCACAAAACCCAGCCCAGAAUGGCUUGCCCGGGCUACACAACGGGCUUUUGUGGCAAUCUUCCACAUGGACGCAGAGGACCCUAGCCCCCACCUUUGCGUCCAUCAUGGAAGCUUCUGAUUGGUCGGGGAGCGGCAGCCAUGUUAGGCUGCGCUAAGCUCCCAUUCUAGGUAGGUUGCAGAAACAAAAAAAAAAUUAAAAAAUAUUUUUUAAAAUAUAUUUUAAAAAAUUGGGGGGGAAAAAUUAACGAAAUAUUAAGAGACAAUUAGAGAAUGGGCCAACAAUGGUUCGAAUUACAUUGCUGGUUGCGCUGUGAGACAAUGUGUCGGAAUGCAUAUCAAAAAGCGAGAACAAUCCGA
Long non-coding RNA from Anolis carolinensis (green anole), 3721 nucleotides. The record is from Ensembl. Lineage: Eukaryota; Metazoa; Chordata; Lepidosauria; Squamata; Anolidae.